GGAAGCGUGCCCGAAAGAUAAGGACCCCCUUGAUAGGGAGACCGAUAUGGGUUCAAACCCCAUCACUUCCU
This 71-nucleotide transfer RNA is filed under the name Polypedates leucomystax (Java whipping frog). Its description in RNAcentral is "tRNA-Ile". It matches the Rfam family "tRNA". Rfam says of the family: Transfer RNA (tRNA) molecules are approximately 80 nucleotides in length. Their secondary structure includes four short double-helical elements and three loops (D, anti-codon, and T loops). The record is from RNAcentral. Lineage: Eukaryota; Metazoa; Chordata; Amphibia; Anura; Rhacophoridae.